GAUGAACGCUGGCGGCGUGCUUAACACAUGCAAGUCGAACGAGAAGUGAAGACGGAAACCUUCGGGCGGAAGGCUUUAUUUCGAGUGGCGGACGGGUGAGUAACGCGUGGGUAACCUGCCUCAUACAGGGGGAUAACAGUUGGAAACGACUGUUAAUACCGCAUAAGACCACAGCACCGCAUGGUGCGGGGGUAAAAACUCCGGUGGUAUGAGAUGGACCCGCGUUCGAUUAGCCAGUUGGCGGGGUAACGGCCCACCAAAGCGACGAUCGAUAGCCGAUCUGAGAGGAUGACCGGCCACAUUGGGACUGAGACACGGCCCAAACUCCUACGGGAGGCAGCAGUGGGGAAUAUAGCACAAUGGGGGAAACCCUGAUGCAGCGACGCCGCGUGAGUGAAGAAGUAUUUCGGUAUGUAAAGCUCUAUCAGCAGGGAAGAAAAUGACGGUACCUGAGUAAGAAGCCCCGGCUAACUACGUG
Molecule: ribosomal RNA, 478 nt
Filed under: uncultured bacterium
Lineage: Bacteria
Description: partial 16S ribosomal RNA
Rfam family: Bacterial small subunit ribosomal RNA
Source: RNAcentral